CGGUCCCCCCGCAACGAUUACCCGUGAACCUGGUCAGAUCCGGAAGGAAGCAGCCACAGCGGGAACAUUGUGUGCCGGGGUGUGGCUGG
RNAcentral lists this signal recognition particle RNA (89 nucleotides) under Pseudomonas fluorescens. RNAcentral's name for it is "Bacterial small signal recognition particle RNA". It matches the Rfam family "Bacterial small signal recognition particle RNA". Rfam says of the family: The signal recognition particle (SRP) is a universally conserved ribonucleoprotein involved in the co-translational targeting of proteins to membranes. Archaeal SRP consists of a 7S RNA and homologues of the eukaryotic SRP19 and SRP54 proteins. Lineage: Bacteria; Pseudomonadati; Pseudomonadota; Gammaproteobacteria; Pseudomonadales; Pseudomonadaceae. The record is from RNAcentral. RNAcentral also lists the same sequence under 5 other names.